Molecule: ribosomal RNA, 1215 nt
Filed under: Acinetobacter pittii
Lineage: Bacteria; Pseudomonadati; Pseudomonadota; Gammaproteobacteria; Moraxellales; Moraxellaceae
Description: bacterial SSU rRNA
Rfam family: Bacterial small subunit ribosomal RNA
Source: RNAcentral
ACGAUCUGUAGCGGGUCUGAGAGGAUGAUCCGCCACACUGGGAUUGAGACACGGCCCAGACUCCUACGCGAGGCAGCAGUCGGGAAUAUUGGACAAUGGGCGCAAGCCUGAUCCAGCCAUGCCGCGUGUGUGAAGAAGGCUUUAUGGUUGUAAAGCACUUUAAGCGAGGAGGAGGCUACUUUAGUUAAUACCUAGAGAUAGUGGACGUUACUCGCAGAAUAAGCACCGGCUAACUCUGUGCCAGCAGCCGCGGUAAUACAGAGGGUGCAAGCGUUAAUCGGAUUUACUGGGCGUAAAGCGCGCGUAGGCGGCUAAUUAAGUCAAAUGUGAAAUCCCCGAGCUUAACUUGGGAAUUGCAUUCGAUACUGGUUAGCUAGAGUGUGGGAGAGGAUGGUAGAAUUCCAGGUGUAGCGGUGAAAUGCGUAGAGAUCUGGAGGAAUACCGAUGGCGAAGGCAGCCAUCUGGCCUAACACUGACGCUGAGGUGCGAAAGCAUGGGGAGCAAACAGGAUUAGAUACCCUGGUAGUCCAUGCCGUAAACGAUGUCUACUAGCCGUUGGGGUCCCCUUUGAGGCUUUAGUGGCGCAGCUAACCGCGAUAAGUAGACCGCCUGGGGAGUACGGUCGCAAGACUAAAACUCAAAUGAAUUGACGGGGGCCCGCACAAGCGGUGGAGCAUGUGGUUUAAUUCGAUGCAACGCGAAGAACCUUACCUGGCCUUGACAUAGUAAGAACUUUCCAGAGAUGGAUUGGUGCCUUCGGGAACUUACAUACAGGUGCUGCAUGGCUGUCGUCAGCUCGUGUCGUGAGAUGUUGGGUUAAGUCCCGCAACGAGCGCAACCCUUUUCCUUAUUUGCCAGCGAGUAAUGUCGGGAACUUUAAGGAUACUGCCAGUGACAAACUGGAGGAAGGCGGGGACGACGUCAAGUCAUCAUGGCCCUUACGGCCAGGGCUACACACGUGCUACAAUGGUCGGUACAAAGGGUUGCUACCUAGCGAUAGGAUGCUAAUCUCAAAAAGCCGAUCGUAGUCCGGAUUGGAGUCUGCAACUCGACUCCAUGAAGUCGGAAUCGCUAGUAAUCGCGGAUCAGAAUGCCGCGGUGAAUACGUUCCCGGGCCUUGUACACACCGCCCGUCACACCAUGGGAGUUUGUUGCACCAGAAGUAGCUAGCCUAACUGCAAAGAGGGCGGUUACCACGGUGUGGCCGAUGACUGG